UCUUUUCUUUUGAUAAGAGAGUUUUUAAAACCAGUGUUAUUUAUGUAAGUUUAAGAGAAGUUUAUGUAUUAAAUUAUUGAUAUUAAAUAGGUUUAUUAGGCUUAGACUUAAUUUUAGGUCAUUUUGGGGGUUUAGCUCAGUUGGCUAGAGCAUCGGCUUUGCAAGCCGAGGGUCAAGGGUUCGAGUCCCUUAACCUCCAUUGGGCUUAUGCCCUAAAUUGUAAUUAAGUAUGUUUUUAAGUAACUUUGUUAAAGUAAUUGUUGGAAUGUGAAACGCAAGAAGUUAAAAUUUCUGGGUUAAGUUGAGAUCUGUUGAUAUUAAGAAAAAUGUCUAGAAGCAAAAGCAAGCUUUCGAUAAAACCCGAAGUUGUUUCGCUAAAGUGCAAGGAUUAAACAGGAUUGUAUUUUUCAGCAGCCUAUUUUAUAAACGAUCUGCAUUUAGUAAAUAGUUUUUAGUUAGGAAAUAAUGUAGAUUACUAAGUGUGAUGUCUGAGAGAAGGACAAGUAUUGUAGCGAGCUUAAAUCCUUAUUAUCGUUGCCAGUAUUUAGUGGUAGGGAUUCGGAUAAGAUUGCCAGUUAUAAGUUGGAGGAAGGCAAAGAUUGCAUUAAAUCGUUAUCGCUCUUAUGUUUUAGGUUACAAGUUUGCAACAAUAACUCAAAAAAGCUAAGCAAAAUACUAUAAAGCAGAUUUCAGUUUGGAUUUGCCCGACACUCAAUGGCAUGAAGUUGUAAUUGUUAGUAAUCGUGUAUACCUUAAUAUAGAAAUUG
Molecule: unclassified non-coding RNA, 767 nt
Filed under: Borreliella burgdorferi (Lyme disease spirochete)
Lineage: Bacteria; Pseudomonadati; Spirochaetota; Spirochaetia; Spirochaetales; Borreliaceae
Description: partial 16S-23S ribosomal RNA intergenic spacer
Rfam family: tRNA (bases 126-199)
Source: RNAcentral